Long non-coding RNA from Gallus gallus (chicken), 1537 nucleotides. RefSeq lists it as uncharacterized. The transcript has 3 exons. The record is from RefSeq and is a predicted model, not a curated record. Lineage: Eukaryota; Metazoa; Chordata; Aves; Galliformes; Phasianidae.
CUUCAGCAGUAAGCUAUGCAGAAUAUAAUGUCCAAACACAGACAAGAUGUUUUGCUCUUAAAUUAGUUAUUUUCUAUUCAGUUUUUAUCCUCCUUCCCUACAUCCAGUCUAACUGCAAGUCUUCCACUUGCCCUAUCAGUUCCUUUAGGAUUCCGUGAUCUCAACAAGAGCAAAAGCAAUAUUGUACCUGGGAGAGGGAGCAGACCCAUCAGACUUGCUGUGGUCUGCAUGGCAAGAUUUUCUGGCCUGUGUGACAGCAGCCUGAGUGGGAACUGUGACCAUGACAAGCAAAACCAGCCAGCUUACCCAAGACUGGAGUGGAUGGAAUGGCUCCUGCCCACCUUUGAGCUGUGGGGGGAAAAGAAAGUCGCUGGCCUUUGUAUUGAUGGUGAACCAGCAGCAAUCAGAGCACACUCAUGGGUGCUAUGAUAAGGCAUGAACAAACAUAUGCUGUUUGCUGUUGUCAGGGGGCUGAACAGCACAUUGUGAGUCAGUUAUUCAAGUAAGGUAGUGAUGUGACUGCAAAGGUGUGUCUCCUAGAUCCAACGUUUUAGGUUUGUCUUGUAUCAUUUUGUGUUUUCAGACUUGAGAACACCUUUCCUCUGUUGCAGUAACUACUGGAAAAGUUGUGGUUUUUCAGGAAAGGAGUGAUGCCAUCUGUGCCAAUGCCCCCUAGGAGCAGAAGUCUCAAACCUGUGAGCUUGGAACCCUCACUCAAAACUACAGCAAGUAUUGAGGAUGUUCAUUGCCCCCAUGGGGUCAAUCUUCCGUGGUUAAGACUGUCACAGGAAGAGAAAGCACUAAUGACAAACUUCUGAAAGACCUGCCCUAUUUACUUGAGGCAAAUUUUGUUUCUAUUAACUAUUAUGCUUCUUCCAAGUAAACCAUCAAAAUCAUUACAAAGUCUUUAGACAAGGCAAGUGCUAGUUGAAUUUGUGAUUGCUGGAGGAGAGAAGAUCUGGGCAGUAACAGCUGCUAGCACUGCUAGUCAAGGUCCUGGGCGUUUUCCCUUGUUUUUCAAUUGCUGAACUUUGCUACAAAUUCUAUUAGUGGUGGCUUUUUAUCUUAGGUAGCAACUAUUGUAACUUCUGUUCUUCAGUAAAGUUGGGAAAACAUUCAGCCUGUCAGUUUGAAACCUCUCUAAACAAAAUGCUGCUCAGAUGUACCAAUUGGACGUUGGACGUAACUUCCUGCUGGCCUCCCUUGCUCUAGUUUGAUAACAGAUCAUAGAAUCACUAAGAUCACCUAGUCCAGCCAUCAGCCCACCACCAUCGUGCCCACCAACCACGCCCCUCAGAGCCAUAGUGCUAGGUGAAAGAAGCAGGCUGUAUGGGACAAACAGUUCUGAAAUGAAAUCUGAAAAGAGCUUCACAGUUAUCUAAAAUACAGAUUUAUCACUUCUGGCAACUGGAGAACAAAUGGGAAAAUUUGCUCUGAUUUUCCACCGGUGAGUGAACUGUGAUAGAAAAAGAUGGAAACAUAAAACAAUUUAGGAAGAAAAAGAUUCAGCUCUCUCUCUCUCCAUAUCUAAUGCUGA